GCUGCCACCCAACCCCGGGAGCCCAGCCAAGCGCUGUGUUUUUCCAGGUCCGCGCAGGGCCAGGGGAACCCUGCGUGUUUGUUUGGUGGGAAUGGAUUACUGGAAAGCUAGACGGAAGGUACCCUGUAAACCGGCAGGAGAAUUCCUCAAUACGAUCUUCCAGCUUACAUGUUCUGUCUUCAGGGUUAUCCGUCCAGAUCUCUUUAAUGUCUGACUGGAUCCCUUCUGCUUCUACAAUCAGUCUGUUGGGAUAUGUUGUUUUGGUUGAAAAUGUGAAGCCUCAUCCAAAUAUGUCGUUGGAAAAGCAUCCUCAGCCUGUCUUUAUUGACCUGGUUCCAUCGAUCUGUGACUUGGCUCCAUCUCACCUCUUCCAAAAAGCCUUCCUGGAUUAAACUUUACAUCAACCCCAUUUUGAUUUGGCUAA
RNAcentral lists this long non-coding RNA (424 nucleotides) under Equus asinus (donkey). Its description in RNAcentral is "lncRNA (ENSEASG00005034591.1)". Lineage: Eukaryota; Metazoa; Chordata; Mammalia; Perissodactyla; Equidae. The record is from RNAcentral.